AUACGGAGGGUCCGAGCGUUAUCCGGAUUUAUUGGGUUUAAAGGGAGCGUAGGCGGGAAGUCAAGUCAGCUGUGAAAUGUAGUCGCUCAACGUCUGCACUGCAGUUGAAACUGGUUUUCUUGAGUGCGUAAGGGGCAGGCGGAAUUCGUCGUGUAGCGGUGAAAUGCUUAGAUAUGACGAAGAACUCCGAUCGCGAAGGCUGCCUGCCGGGCCGCAACUGACGCUGAAGCUCGAAGGUGCGGGUAUCGAACAGGAUUAGAUACCCUGGUAGUCCGCACAGUAAACGAUGGAUACUCGCUGUCGGCGAUAAACGGUCGGUGGCCAAGCGAAAGCGCUAAGUAUCCCACCUGGGGGGUACGCCGGCAACGGUGAAACUCAAAGGAAUUGACGGGG
This 393-nucleotide ribosomal RNA is filed under the name uncultured bacterium. RNAcentral's name for it is "partial 16S ribosomal RNA". It matches the Rfam family "Bacterial small subunit ribosomal RNA", at positions 523 to 918 of the family's 1533-position model. The record is from RNAcentral.